Molecule: non-coding RNA, 699 nt
Organism: Elaeis guineensis (African oil palm)
Lineage: Eukaryota; Viridiplantae; Streptophyta; Magnoliopsida; Arecales; Arecaceae
Source: RefSeq, a predicted model, not a curated record
AGAGAAGAGGGAGGUGGAGGUUCCUACAGUGUUUUUGCCCCCGCCCCCCUAUUUUCUUUUUGCCCUUGUCAUAAAACCAGCCCGUUUAAUUUGGGGUUGGGUUGGCUUGGGCUCUUAUCGAUUGACCAUAUUAGCCUUCCAUAAUGCCCCCUAUAGGGUGGGGCGAUAGAUCGGCAUUCCCGAGUACCUCGCCAGAGUCGUGAGCCCCAUUUUGCCCGUCCUCAGGUCUUUUUCCUUGGCUGCUGCCGCUGCUGCUCUGUUUUCACUCUCUCCAUGGCGAUUCCCGGCCCUUACUCCGGCGUCAGCACCCUUGCUUUCGUGGCUCGUGCCUCGGCCUUUACCUUUGGCGUUGUCUAUGGGAGUAUGAAGCUCUCCUAUCUCAAGGCGAAAGCAAAGUCUCAGAAAAAGGUGGAGGCUAAGGGUCAUCACUGAAUGAAGGAUGUGGCCUGUCGGUGAUCCCUGAUACAAAGCAGUGACAGAAUUUGUUAUCACCACCUUGUUUUUGUUUGCAGUAUACUGCACUGCAUGCGGGUUCAUGCUUUGUUUAAGAUUUGCUCAGCAACUCCCAUAUCGAACCAAGUGGAGGAUGUUUGACAUGUUACCUCCUAUCCUGAAAUAAUGGUCAAUCGUGAUGACAGAAGUUGAGAGUGGAUUUUGGACCCAUUUCACUUUAAAUCAGUGCAUUUAGUUUUUCUGUAA